Hippocampus comes (tiger tail seahorse) is the source of this 1329-nucleotide long non-coding RNA. RefSeq lists it as uncharacterized. NCBI's taxonomy places the organism in Eukaryota, Metazoa, Chordata, Actinopteri, Syngnathiformes, Syngnathidae. The transcript has 2 exons. The record is from RefSeq and is a predicted model, not a curated record.
AAUCAAUGGGGGGGUGGGGGGGGGGAGACGCUCCAGGCCAACAACCUGCAUGAAACCGAACGUAUAUGCAUUAUUAUCACGGUUUACUCCUUGGAUGUCUAUGCCAGUAAGAACACACGCACGCACGCACAUCAGAUACAAGCAUUAAAUGUAACUUGGGUACUUGCCCCAGGGCCUGCAUCGUAAAUCCAGCCUUUUGUCUUUGUUCUAAAAGACGGUGAAGACGCUGAGGGCUGCGUUACGAUGCAAAUGAUGUCAUGGGAAGUCGUAAGUCGACCGGCAGAGACGCUAACUCUUUCGAGAUGUAGAUCAGUUGAUUUUAAGUCUGCACUUGUUAUUAGUUAAAAAAAAAAACAAAGCAUACAUUUGUCACAAGAAUGCCUCAUAAAAGCUACCAACAGAAACGCAGUUGAAAGCGUUCACGGCAAUUAUACACGCCAUGGUGUUUCCGAUUUUGCAUCGGAACUUGGGACUGCAAUGCUCUGAGGGCGUCUUAUCGUGGAUAUAAUUCUGCACACCCCAGAUAAAAUGUCGGAUUUCGGCGAUCCAAAACACUGUAGACCAAAAUAAACCAUUUCAAAACGUUAACAUUCACGUGACCUAUUCCCUGUACAGAUGACUCGAAAUCUCUUCCAGGGGGGUAAAAUAAAAAGCUGAGAUGAUCCCAAUGAACCCCAAAUCAAGAUGAAGCUGUUCUAGUUGCCUUUUCUUGACAUUUUUAGUCACAUGUUAUAGAGCGGGGUUGCCCAAGUACGAUCCUCGACAUGUUCCCCUCCUCCAACACACUUGAUUAAAGUAAUCAGGUUCAUGAUCAGGCUUCUGAUGAUUUGAAUCAGGUGUGUUGGAGGAGGGAAACCUCGAAAACAAACAGGAUAGGGACUCUCGAGGACCGGACUUGGGCACCCCUGUUCAAGUCCAAAUCAUUGUCCACAGAGAGUUUGGACAGAAUUAGAGGGACGGCAUUGUUCAAAGAUAACGGUAAGGAGAAGAAUACAAAUUUUCAGGUCAUUAAAAUGCACCACGGACUCAAGUUAGAUCACUCGAUCUUGAUGACAAGAAGGAAAUGAGAUUUGUACUACUUGCGGGUCAGGGCGUGCGCAUUGUGACCGAGUGAACAUGGUGACCUUUUGUCAAGCACCGAUCGCUAAGACAGAUGCCCCUUUUCUCUCCGUUCUUUAAGCGGGAUCGCCCUGCCCCACCUCCAAGUUCUGCGUGACCAGCAAGCGUAUUGGAUUGUCCACGCGGAUGAUUCAAAGUACGGCUUUGAAAAAGGGUCAAACCAACAAAAACGAACCAAUUGGUAGAUAAUAACAACAAUCAAUCAAUACA